RNAcentral lists this ribosomal RNA (410 nucleotides) under uncultured bacterium. Its description in RNAcentral is "bacterial SSU rRNA". It matches the Rfam family "Bacterial small subunit ribosomal RNA", at positions 370 to 772 of the family's 1533-position model. The record is from RNAcentral.
AAUGGGCGCAAGCCUGAUCCAGCAAUGCCGCGUGGGCGAAGACGGCCUGCGGGUUGUAAAGCCCUUUGGGCGGGGAAGAACGGCGGGCUGCGAACAGCGGUCCGCCCUGACAUUACCCGCAGAACAAGCACCGGCUAACUCCGUGCCAGCAGCCGCGGUAAUACGGAGGGUGCGAGCGUUAAUCGGAAUUACUGGGCGUAAAGCGUGCGUAGGCGGUCCGGUCAGUCAGCCGUGAAAGCCCCGGGCUCAACCUGGGAACGGCGGUUGAGACGGCCGGACUGGAGUGGGCUAGAGGAUCGUGGAAUUCCGGGUGUAGCGGUGAAAUGCGUAGAGAUCCGGAGGAACACCGAUGGCGAAGGCAGCGGUCUGGGGCCACACUGACGCUGAGGCACGAAAGCGUGGGGAGCAAA